This 168-nucleotide unclassified non-coding RNA is filed under the name uncultured Polyporales. RNAcentral's name for it is "sequence contains ITS1". Lineage: Eukaryota; Fungi; Basidiomycota; Agaricomycetes; Polyporales. The record is from RNAcentral.
UUGAGCCCUGCCCUCACGGGUAGACCUCCAACCCUGUGUAUUUAUACCUUUGUUGCUUCGGCAGGCCGUCUAGGUUUCGGCCUGGCUAUGGGCUUCGGCUCGUAAGCGCCUGCCAGAAGACACUUAAACUCUGUAAUCAAUGUCGUCUGAGUAAAAUUUAAUAAGUUA